GUGUUAAUGACGAUGAGGGUCCACCCGUUCCCAUCCCGAACACGGUAGUUAAGCUCAUUGGUGCCGAAGAUACUUGGCGGGAGGCCGCCCGGGAAAAUAGGAAGACGC
This 108-nucleotide ribosomal RNA is filed under the name human gut metagenome. RNAcentral also lists the same sequence under 1 other name. The record is from RNAcentral.